Parcubacteria group bacterium is the source of this 2140-nucleotide non-coding RNA. The record is from Rfam.
AUUCCCAUUGAUCCUGUGGGAGGUCACUGCUAUUGGGAUUCGAUUAAGCCAUGCAAGUUAAGGGGCUCUUCGGAGCACCGGCACAAGGCUCAGUAACACGUCGAUAAUUUGCCCUUAGGUCUGGAAUAACCUUGGGAAACUGAGGCUAAUACUAGAUAAGAGAUUUUUCCUGGAAUGGUAUUUCUCUGAAAAGCAAUGCCUAAGGAUAAGUCGGCGGCUGAUUAGGUUGUUGGUGAGGUAAAGGCUCACCAAGCCUUAGAUCAGUAGGGGGGAUGAGAGUCCUAGCCUCGAGAAGGGCACUGAGAAACUGGCCCUAGCCCUAAGGGGUGCAGCAGGCGCGAAAACUUUACAAUACACGAAAGUGUGAUAAGGGAAUCCCGAGUGCUUUACUUCGGUAAAGCUUUUGCUAAGUGUAAAUAGCUUAGAGAAUAAGUGGUGGGCAAGACUGGUGCCAGCCGCCGCGGUAACACCAGCGCCACAAGUUGUGACCAUAUUUAUUGGGUCUAAAGCGUCCGUAGCUGGUUUAGAAAAUCUCUUGUGAAAUUGUUGAAUUUAAUUUAACAGCGUGCAAGAGAGACUUCUAGACUUGAGACUGGGAGGAGAUAGGAGUAUUCCAAAGGUAGCGGUAAAAUGUUAUAAUCUUUGGAGGACUACCUGUGGCGAAGGCGCCUAUCUAGAACAGUUCUGACAGUGAGGGACGAAGGCCAGGGGAGCAAAACGGAUUAGAUAUGGGAAAGGGAAAGCUUUAUAUUUAAAAAAGCAUAUUUAGAUUAGAAUGCCAAGUAGCAAUAUAAAGCUGUUGGAAAAUCUCACACCUGAUAUGUUUAGGAUAGUUGGAAUCCUACAUGGUGAUGGAAACAUGUCUUUCUCUAGAAUCCUCAUCACAGAUAAAUGCAAAGAUUAUCAUAUAACUGUGUUAAGGCCACUCUUCAGAAAGGUAUUUAAUUUAAGAUUCAAUCUGUUCCAUGACCAAAAGAGGAAUUCAUACUACUCGCAUGUCAAAAAUAAGCUUGUUUAUAACUACCUUGUUGCAAAGUUAAAGAUUCCAAAGGGUUCUAUAAGAAAGAAUCUUUUUAUACCGGCAUAUCUUAAGAAAGCAAAUAAUAAUUGCAAAGCAUCUUAUGUUGGGGGAAUUUUUGACUCUGAAGGAAGCGUUAGUAAAAGGCAGGCAGAAAUGAAUUUAUCAACCACAUGUGUAGGUAUCCAUCAUCUUGUAAAAAGUUUCCUGAGAAACAACAAGAUAAAGUUCAGUCAGUUGGUGAGAAAUAGACGACAAAAUAAAGAAUACGAAAUAUAUAUCUAUGGCAGAGAUAAUAUAAAAAGAUUAUUGAAAAUAGUAGAAAUAAAGCAUCCAGAUAAACUGUUGCGUUUAAAACAGCUUUCCCUUGUCCACUANNNNNNNNNNNNNUCCUGGCAGUAAACGCUGUGAGCUAUGUGUUACAUAUUCUUAGUGGAUAUGUAGUGCCUAAGCGAAGGUGUUAAGCUCACCACCUGGGGAGUACGGCCGCAAGACUGAAACUUAAAGGAAUUGGCGGGGGCUCACCACAACAGGUGGAGCGUGCGGUUCAAUUGGAUUCUACGCCGGAAAUCUCACCAGAAGCGAUGGCAGAAUGAAGGUCAGAUUAAAGGUUUUACCUGACACGCCAAGAGGUAUUGCAUGGCCGUCGUCAGCUCGUGCCGUGAGGUGUCUAGUUAAGUCUAGUAACGAGCAAGACCCAUAUUUACAUUUGCUAACAGGUUCUCCGGAACGACUGAGCACUCUGUAGAGACUGCCUUCGUAAGAAGGAGGAAGGUGUGGGCCACGGUAGGUCAGUAUGGUCCGAAUCUUCUGGGCUACACGCGCGCUACAAUGGUAAAGACAGAAGGAUACAACUCUGAAAAGAGAAGUUAACCCUUUAAACUUUAUCUUAGUUCGGAUUGAGGAUUGUAACUCAUCCUCAUGAAGCUGGAAUCUGUAGUAAUCGGUCCUCAUUAUAGACCGGUGAAUACGUCCCUGAGCCUUGCACACACUGCCCGUCAAACCAACCGAGCAGGGUUCAGAUGAGGCUUAAUCUUUAGAUUAACUCGAAUCUAAACUCAGUAAGGUGGGUUAAGUCGUCACAAGGUAUCCGUAGGGGAACCUGCGGAUGGAUCACCUCCU